RNAcentral lists this transfer RNA (72 nucleotides) under Camelus bactrianus (Bactrian camel). It matches the Rfam family "tRNA". Rfam says of the family: Transfer RNA (tRNA) molecules are approximately 80 nucleotides in length. Lineage: Eukaryota; Metazoa; Chordata; Mammalia; Artiodactyla; Camelidae. The record is from Rfam by way of RNAcentral. RNAcentral also lists the same sequence under 2 other names.
GAGGGUAGAGCUCAGUGGUAGAGUGUGUGCUUAGCAUGCAUGAGGUCCUGGGCUCAAUCCUCAGCAUCUCCA